GAUGAACGCUGGCGGCGUGCCUAAUACAUGCAAGUCGAACGCUUCACUUCGGUGAAGAGUGGCGAACGGGUGAGUAAUACAUAAGUAACCUGGCAUCUACAGGGGGAUAACUGAUGGAAACGUCAGCUAAGACCGCAUAGGUGUAGAGAUCGCAUGAACUCUAUAUGAAAAGUGCUACGGGACUGGUAGAUGAUGGACUUAUGGCGCAUUAGCUUGUUGGUAGGGUAACGGCCUACCAAGGCGACGAUGCGUAGCCGACCUGAGAGGGUGACCGGCCACACUGGGACUGGAACACGGCCCAGACUCCUACGGGAGGCAGCAGUAGGGAAUUUUCGGCAAUGGGGGAAACCCUGACCGAGCAACGCCGCGUGAAGGAAGAAGUAAUUCGUUAUGUAAACUUCUGUCAUAGAGGAAGAACGGUGGAUAUAGGGAAUGAUAUCCCAGUGACGGUACUCUAUAAGAAAGCCACGGCUAACUACGUG
This 482-nucleotide ribosomal RNA is filed under the name uncultured bacterium. RNAcentral describes it as "partial 16S ribosomal RNA". It matches the Rfam family "Bacterial small subunit ribosomal RNA", at positions 28 to 507 of the family's 1533-position model. The record is from RNAcentral.